This is a non-coding RNA of Microcebus murinus (gray mouse lemur), 1376 nucleotides long. Lineage: Eukaryota; Metazoa; Chordata; Mammalia; Primates; Cheirogaleidae. The record is from RefSeq and is a predicted model, not a curated record.
UAAAAGAUCCUUAAUUAGGUUGAGGAAAAUCAAAGUCACUGAUUUUUAAUCAUCCUGGGGUCACAGACUCCUUUGAGAUUCUAUCUUGUUUUGUUUUUGAGCUGGAGUGUCACUGUGUUGCCCAGGCUAACCUCAAACUGAAGCAAUUCUACUUCAGAACUUCUGGGAUUACAGGCAUGCUGCCAAGCCCGGCUGCUUUGAGACAGUUAACAAAAUCUAUGACCCUAUUCCUAGAAGAAAAGCACACCCACACAAUUUGCAUCCAAUUUUACAAGGUUCAUGGACACUCUGAAACCUAUCCCUGAAACCUAAACCUCACGUUAAGAAUCUCUGCAAGGCUAAGGGGCACUAGAUCUCCUCAGAUUCCUGGCAAAAAAAGACACCAGGAAGCUUAUCAGAGACUAGAAGUGAAGUAGUGUUAAUCAUAAUUCUGAAAGAAACUUUAGCUUAACCUACUCAAAAAGAGAAUAAGGAUUUUCAACAGGAUGCAAUGCUUGAUCACCUCGUGUUCUAGCAGACUCUAUGAAGAACUUCUCAGCUCUGUGACUUCUCAGAGUAUCUUACCACUAUGUUGUCCUUGUCACUGAUCUACCUGUAUCCCAAUUAGAUAAGCACCUAACCUGUGUUUAAUUUUUCUCUCUGUCUCAUAGAGUUCUCUGCCCAGUGCCUGGCAUUACUCGAUAAAAGUUUGUUGGAGAAGAAAUGAACUAGCUUAUCAAUUUAUCCAUGAUUACAUUCAGGCAUGUCAAGAUCCACAUGGAGGGCAGAGCAGGAAUUCUGAAGCAAAUGGAAAAAGCAGCUUCCAAGUUCAAGUGGAAGAAAUAACUAAUUUAGGAAACAGUGCUGGAGCACUCAGGCCUAUUUGCAGCUCAUGGCUUAUUUUUAGGGGAUUAAAAAUAUUUGCAAGUCAAAGCAGAAACUGCUCUUUUGCUGCCUUAUAGCUUUCUUCAGCUCUAAUGGAGUGUGCUCACUAAGAAGCAGAGAACAACACUUGAGUGAUGGCCUCAGGGGAUGUUAGAAAAACCUCCCGUUAUAUUUGAGCAAAACUCAAGAAAGUCUAUCAUGGCAAGAGUCUGCAAGGCUGUGGUCAUGGAAAAGAAAAAGAGUGUUGCAGAGCAAAAACUCUUACUUUUAUCAUCAUAAAACGUUCAAGUGGAUUUGAAAGCUUUAUUAAGAACUUCCCAUACCUCAUAAGUGAUCCCUUCACACAGAAUAAGCAACACAUCUCAGAAUUCUUAAAUAUUUACCCAGCAGUAGAGGGAAGUAAGAAGUGACAGUUGCAGGGGACAGGAGAAAAGCUACAAAGUGUUUAAAAAGUGAACAAAUAUGCAAUAACAAUCUGAACUAACAGAACAAAGAAUAAAGAAUUUUUUAAA